Molecule: unclassified non-coding RNA, 234 nt
Filed under: plant metagenome
Description: partial contains small subunit ribosomal RNA, internal transcribed spacer 1, and 5.8S ribosomal RNA
Source: RNAcentral
UUUCCGUAGGUGAACCUGCGGAAGGAUCAUUAAAGUUAUAGUCCCCCGGCCCUCUGGGCUGGGGUCUUCUAUACCACCCUUUGGUUAUUACACCUUUGUUGCUUUGGCAGGCCUGCCCUCGGGCUGCUGGCUCCGGCCGGCUCGCGUCUGCCAGAGGACCUAAACUCUGUUUGUAUAUGAAGUCUGAGUACUAUAUAAUAGUUAAAACUUUCAACAACGGAUCUCUUGGUUCUG